Long non-coding RNA from Gallus gallus (chicken), 2781 nucleotides. The record is from Ensembl. Lineage: Eukaryota; Metazoa; Chordata; Aves; Galliformes; Phasianidae.
CUCUCUUUGGGGUUUCAUAGGAUUUUGAUGUUGCACUCUCUGUUUGCUAUUCCUGCAGUGCGCCUCCAUGCAGUGACAUUGACAUCAUCACGCAGCUAUUGCUAGCUUUGUCAGAGCCAAUUGUGUGCAACUGUGAGGAGCAGGGAGUCAUGACUGGUGGCAUUAGCUCUCGUAACCACAGCAGAGCAGCAAGGCACAGUUACACUUUAAGAGAGAAUAUUUAGGGGAGGAAUACCAGCACUGUACCAGCCUGCAGCAGCUGUACCAUGUUGCUGAAAGACCAGAACACAUAUUCUCCAGGCCUAGAAGCAAGGGAUUAUAGAGGUACUUUCAGAAGGUACCCAUGUGACUGAGAAGUGUAUGCACCAUUUUUAAAAAGCCCCUUGCUGAGAGAUGAUGGGCUGGGUAGGGCCUGCAGAGAAAUCAAAUGGACGUUUUCAAAAACUGUACCCCUUAUUUUAAAAGAAAGGAAAACGUGAGGCAAUCGCAGCUGAUUCAGCAUCCGGCAGUCUCAGCCAAGUCAUAUUUUACCUCUUCCCUUCCCUCCCCGCACAAAACUUCCAGGAAAACCUGCAAAGAAAAGGCAUAUGUGGGUAGGAGGAGACCUGCUUUUAAUUUCUGUACCUCCUAUUCAACACAAUGCCACACAAUGUACAGGAUGCGAAUAUCCCAAGACACCUCAUACAAUACAAGUAACAAAAGCACACACACAUGCACAAGAAAGGGGGAGAAGCAAGCAUGGCAGAGUUACAAAGCAAAGUGCAGGUAAAGCUAUCUCUAAAGUAUCUCUAAUGUAAAGGAGCUCCAUGAAAAAUUCAUCUUUAGAAAAGGGAAAUGGGGGACUGGAGAAAUAUUUCAGUGAACAUGAGAACUAGAUUUCCAUUUCAAAGCAGUAUUUACCUAUUUUUCUCUGCUGUGUUGUAUGUAGUGGCCAGGUCUUCAUUACCAGCAAAGGAGGAGGUCCUAAAGAGGUCUUUGCACUGAGGUGCAACAGAGAUGCUCCUAUGGUUGGUCUACAGAGCAACCUGGUGUCUAUAGAGCACUGAGUCCCAUAGUGGCUGUGAUGAUAGCCUAAAGAAAUGGCUGAGGUUUGAAGUGUAUCACCACAGCUGUAAAGGUUUUCCCCUUCUUUCGGCUGAGGGGAGUGCAGGUAGGGUCUGCUCACUCCCAGGAAAUACCACCUGGCCUGGUUAAAGGAGAUCCUUCUGGAGAUGGGACCACAUCCAUGUCUUGGUGAAGUGCAAAGUGCCUGGAGCAAUGCUCAGCAUUACAGCUCCUGUCAGCACUCAGUGAAUGCAUCAGAGCCUGAUCAAAGAAAUCCAAGGUUCCUCCAAGCCUUUUGCUGAGGCAUGGUUCUGCAUAUCCAUCAGAAUGACCAUGCUGUGGGUGAAGCACUAGCUCAGGCACAAUUCACUCAAAGUUUGUGAGCUUGCAGAGUUUACAAGGAAAACACCAUGUCUGAGCCAGCCACUCUUUAACGUUUGUCUGGAGUUGCUGUGAGAUUUUUACAGCAAGGAUGUAUUGUUUUCAGAUAGGAAUGAAAGCAAAAUACUUCAAACAAUCAAUCAAACAAACAAAUAAACAAAACCAUGGGACAUGAUCUUUACAAUAUAUUUAUUAGAAAGGACAAUUUUUUUAACAUACAAAAAUAGGGCUUCAUAUGUAGAUAGAAAGACUAGAUGACUUUUAGUCACAAGGCCACUGACUGCUGCAUCAAAAUCCAAUGUGAAUAUACAGAGGCAGAGAGGAGAAACUGCAGGAAGCAGAAGAGGGCUAUAGCCAUGAAUCACUUCUCCCUGUGGAAUGGGGUCACUAGAGUAACUUGUUUAACUGAUUACGUAUUUCUUCAGUGUUUGAGAAAAAAAAAUGAAGCUGGUACUUUUUCAUUGUACUUGUGUGUUGAUCGACAGUUGCUAUCAGUGUGGUGUAAUUAGAGUGGGCAAAGAGGAUCAUUUUGUGAAUCUCAGCUGCCUAACUCUAUAUCCAUAUCACAAGCAAUAUCUCAUUCUUCCUUAAUGGAUGUUCAGUUACCGCAUCAAAUAUGUGCUUUGUUUAAUGUUAUUGGAAACGGCAGUAAGAAGAAGAAAGAAAACAGCAAAAAGCAGAGAAAUAUUUGUUAGUAUUGUAUAUUGUGAAGUGUGAUGAUAAAGAAGAUUUUUAUAAUGGCUCUUGGAAGUGUCACUAAUGGAACAAAAUGUCCCCUGCCCACCAGCAGCCACAGAGCUGCAGCUGUGUGCCGCUUAAAACUUCAGCGAAGGACAUAGAUUUAUUAUGCUGUGUAUCACCACUUCCUAUAUUUCUGACAGGACUGCACUCUGGCUUUUGUUUUUGUUUUUCUAAAAAUAAAAAAAAUAUAUAUCAAAACAAACAAAUGAGGCACUGCUGUAGAAAGGAAGGGUAAUCCUAGCUGCAUGUAGAGGUGUCUUUCACGGUUAGAAUGUGUUUCAUAGAACUGUAGAAUCACAGAAUGGCCUGGCUUGAAAAGGACCAUAAUGAUCAUUGAGUUUCAACCCCCCUGCUAUGUGCAGGGUGGCCAACCACCAGACCAGGCUGCCCAGCGCCACAUCCAGCCUGGCCUUGAAUGCCUCCAGGGAUGGGGCAUCCACAGCCUCCUUGGGCAACCUGUUCCAGCAUGUCACCAGAUGUUUAGGAUGUUUGAAGACAUAUCUAAAUAAUUGUUUUGUAUUAACUGAGGAAAUGUCACUUAAAUAAUUGGUGAACUUUUGUGUGUUUGUGCUCUGUAAUCAAUGCCAUGUGUUUUAAUGGGCGUUUGGAUAGAAA